UACGGGAGGCAGCAGUGGGGAAUAUUGCACAAUGGGCGAAAGCCUGAUGCAGCUAUGCCGCGUGUAUGAAGAAGGCCUUAGGGUUGUAAAGUACUUUCAUCGGGGAGGAAAAACAAAACUAAUAAUUUUAUUUCUUGACGUUACCCGAAAAAGAAGCACCGGCUAACUCCGUGCCAGCAGCCGCGGUAAUACGGAGGGUGCUAGCGUUAAUCAGAAUUACUGGGCGUAAAGAGCACGUAGGUGGUUUUUUUAAGUCAGAUGUGAAAUCCCCUGGGGCUUAACCUAGGAACUGCAUUUUUGAAACUGAAAUACUAGAGUAUCGUAGAGGGAGGUAGAAUUCUAGGUGUAGCGGUGAAAUGCGUAGAUAUCUGGAGGAAUACCUGUGGCGAAAGCGGCCUCCUAAACGAAUACUGACACUGAGGUGCGAAAGCGUGGGGAGCAAACAGGGAUUAGAUACC
This 458-nucleotide ribosomal RNA is filed under the name uncultured bacterium. Its description in RNAcentral is "bacterial SSU rRNA". It matches the Rfam family "Bacterial small subunit ribosomal RNA", at positions 340 to 786 of the family's 1533-position model. The record is from RNAcentral.